This is a non-coding RNA of Neurospora crassa OR74A, 702 nucleotides long. The record is from RefSeq and is a predicted model, not a curated record. Lineage: Eukaryota; Fungi; Ascomycota; Sordariomycetes; Sordariales; Sordariaceae.
GAUCGUGGAGAGCAUCCAGUCAACGUCCCCGUUCUGGCGUUCUGGCGUUCUGGCGUUCAGCCCGGACAUGAACCGUAAUAAGCCGGAAUGAAAGAUGACGACAAUGGCAAUGGCCACAUGGGGGCCGUUCGUGAUACCCAGUAUCUAGUACAUAUCAGACAACAACAAGUUGACGAAGGAGAAAAGACGGAAAUGGAACUGAGAACUGAAGAGUUCUCGCAGGUCAGACUCGUGCGUAGCUCUCUUCCGGGCAGUAGCUUUGGGCUCGUCCUAUCACCACCGGGGGUGCUAGCUUCGUUUCCAGGCCAAUAAGAUCGGCAAUAGCAUCUUCAAGCCAAGAAGUGCAGGGGCGAGAGGGGCUAUCAACCACUCGAUGAUCCAAACACGUCCAAUGGCAACUUCAUUGCUGUGUGCAGGGCUCGAGACCCUUCUCCGGACAACACGAACUGCAUCCAUGACCAGAGCUGCAAUCCACCCUCACAAAUUGCCUUUGCGACAAUAACCUCGCGGCGCUAUCCUCGUAUCGAAAGGUCGACCCUAAAUGGCAGCCAACGCCGUCAAAAUUCUCAGGAAGACAGGGGCUUCAGAGUCACAUGCAAAGCUCAAUUAUUUCCAGGCCGAAAGAGCUUCAGAUACGUUUCCCAAGCAAAGGCAAGAUCUGGUGCUGAUCGACGUGGACAGCAGCAAGGAUAAGUCGCAAUG